GACGAACGCUGGCGGCGUGCUUAACACAUGCAAGUCGAACGGAAAGGCCCUGCUUUUGUGGGUUGCUCGAGUGGCGAACGGGUGAGUAACACGUGAGUAACCUGCCCUUGACUUUGGGAUAACUUCAGGAAACUGGGGCUAAUACCGGAUAGGAGCUCCUGCUGCAUGGUGGGGGUUGGAAAGUUUCGGCGGUUGGGGCUGGACUCGCGGCUUAUCGGCUUGUUGGUGGGGUAGUGGCUUACCAAGGCUUUGACGGGUAGCCGGCCUGAGAGGGUGACCGGCCACAUUGGGACUGAGAUACGGCCCAGACUCCUACGGGAGGCAGCAGUGGGGAAUAUUGCACAAUGGGCGGAAGCCUGAGGCAGCAACGCCGCGUGCGGGAUGACGGCCUUCGGGUUGUAAACCGCUUUCGCCUGUGACGAAGCGUGAGUGACGGUAAUGGGUAAAGAAGCACCGGCUAACUACGUG
This 468-nucleotide ribosomal RNA is filed under the name uncultured bacterium. RNAcentral describes it as "partial 16S ribosomal RNA". It matches the Rfam family "Bacterial small subunit ribosomal RNA", at positions 28 to 507 of the family's 1533-position model. The record is from RNAcentral.